AGUGAAUGCUAAAGGUAUGCUUAACACAUGCAAGUUUAACAGAGCUUAGGCUCGGUAGCGUACGGGUGAGUAUGAUAGAAGAACAAAAGCGUAAGUUUGGGACAAGAGUUUGUCUGUAUAAAUACCGAAUAAUACGAAAAGAUUUUAUCGCUUACUAUUAGGCUUCUAUAGGAUUAGAUUGUUGGCGGUGUAAUGGACCACCAAGUCAGUGAUCCUUAGUUGGUCUGAGAGGANGAUCAGCCACACUGGGACUGAAAUAAGGCCCAGACUUCCUUGGAGGGCAGCAGUGAGGAAUAUUGGACAAUGGGCGUAAGCCUGAUCCAGCAAUACCUAUUGGGUGAUGAAGGCAAUUCUGUAAAACCUAAGAGAUAAGGAAAAUGAUGAUUUUACUUAAUCUUUAGCCCCGGCUAACUUCGUGCCAGCCGCCGCUGUAAGACCUGAGACCAAGGCACACAGGGG
This 459-nucleotide ribosomal RNA is filed under the name uncultured bacterium. Its description in RNAcentral is "bacterial SSU rRNA". It matches the Rfam family "Bacterial small subunit ribosomal RNA", at positions 36 to 538 of the family's 1533-position model. The record is from RNAcentral.